Ornithodoros turicata is the source of this 282-nucleotide long non-coding RNA. RefSeq lists it as uncharacterized. The record is from RefSeq and is a predicted model, not a curated record. The transcript is spliced from 4 exons. NCBI's taxonomy places the organism in Eukaryota, Metazoa, Arthropoda, Arachnida, Ixodida, Argasidae.
GAUGCCAGAGCUAACUGAUGGGUGCACAUGGUUCCUUCGUAUGUUCUUUCUUUGAAAAAAUAAACGUGUUUCGAUGCCAGAGCUAACUGAUGGGUGCACAUGGUUCCUUCGUAUGUUCUUUCUUUGAAAAAAUAAACGUGUUUCGAUGGCAGAGCUAACUGAUGGGUGCACAUGGUUCCCUCGUAUGUUUUUCCUUUGAAGAAAUAAACGUGUUUCGAUGCCAGAGCUAACUGAUGGGUGCACAUGGUUCCUUCCUAUGUUCUUCCUUUGAAGAAAUAAACG